GUUGGUCGGNGGUAAGGGCCCACCAAGGCGACGAUCAGUAGCCGGCCUGAGAGGGUGAACGGCCACAUUGGGACUGAGACACGGCCCAAACUCCUACGGAAGGCAGCAG
Molecule: ribosomal RNA, 109 nt
Filed under: uncultured bacterium
Lineage: Bacteria
Description: partial 16S ribosomal RNA
Rfam family: Bacterial small subunit ribosomal RNA
Source: RNAcentral